AGAUGGGAUAAUCCGGGAAACGGGGCUAAUACCGGAUAACUUUUUNCUUCGCAUGAAGGAGAAUUGAAAGGUGGCUCUAGCUACCACUUACAGAUGGACCCGCGGCGCAUUANCUAGUUGGUGAGGUAACGGCUCACCAAGGCGACGAUGCGUAGCCGACUUGAGAGGGUGAUCGGCCACACUGGGACUGAGACACGGCCCAGACUCCUACGGGAGGCAGCAGUAGGGAAUCUUCCGCAAUGGACGAAAGUCUGACGGAGCAACGCCGCGUGAGUGAUGAAGGUUUUCGGAUCGUAAAACUCUGUUGUUAGGGAAGAACAAGUAUCGUUCGAAUAGGGCGGUACCUUGACGGUACCUAACCAGAAAGCCACGGCUAACUACGUGCCAGCAGCCGCGGUAAUACGUAGGUGGCAAGCGUUGUCCGGAAUUAUUGGGCGUAAAGCGCGCGCAGGCGGUUUCUUAAGUCUGAUGUGAAAGCCCACGGCUCAACCGUGGAGGGUCAUUGGAAACUGGGAGACUUGAGUGCAGAAGAGAAGAGCGGAAUUCCACGUGUAGCGGUGAAAUGCGUAGAGAUGUGGAGGAACACCAGUGGCGAAGGCGGCUCUUUGGUCUGUAACUGACGCUGAGGCGCGAAAGCGUGGGGAGCGAACAGGAUUAGAUACCCUGGUAGUCCACGCCGUAAACGAUGAGUGCUAAGUGUUAGAGGGUUUCCGCCCUUUAGUGCUGCAGCUAACGCAUUAAGCACUCCGCCUGGGGAGUACGGCCGCAAGGCUGAAACUCAAAGGAAUUGACGGGGGCCCGCACAAGCGGUGGAGCAUGUGGUUUAAUUCGAAGCAACGCGAAGAACCUUACCAGGUCUUGACAUCCUCUUGACCUCCCUAGAGAUAGGGAUUUCCCUUCGGGGACAAGAGUGACAGGUGGUGCAUGGUUGUCGUCAGCUCGUGUCGUGAGAUGUUGGGUUAAGUCCCGCAACGAGCGCAACCCUUGACCUUAGUUGCCAGCAUUCAGUUGGGCACUCUAAGGUGACUGCCGGUGACAAACCGGAGGAAGGUGGGGAUGACGUCAAAUCAUCAUGCCCCUUAUGACCUGGGCUACACACGUGCUACAAUGGAUGGUACAAAGGGUUGCUAGACCGCGAGGUUACGCCAAUCCCAUAAAACCAUUCUCAGUUCGGAUUGUAGGCUGCAACUCGCNUACAUGAACC
Molecule: ribosomal RNA, 1204 nt
Filed under: Heyndrickxia sporothermodurans
Lineage: Bacteria; Bacillati; Bacillota; Bacilli; Caryophanales; Bacillaceae
Description: bacterial SSU rRNA
Rfam family: Bacterial small subunit ribosomal RNA
Source: RNAcentral